Long non-coding RNA from Patella vulgata (common limpet), 4618 nucleotides. RefSeq lists it as uncharacterized. Lineage: Eukaryota; Metazoa; Mollusca; Gastropoda; Patellidae. The transcript has 3 exons. The record is from RefSeq and is a predicted model, not a curated record.
AUAUAUCAAGACAUUAUAUAUUGUAUAUUAUUUAUAAAUGCAUAUAAUAGAAUAAUGUUGAUGGUGAUAAUAGUUAUAAUAUUCGGAUAUCUGGGUUUAUUUACAAGAUAGUGUUACCUAUAUCAUGUCACAGCAAUUAUACUUUUUGUGCUACUUUUUCGGGUGUGGGAUUUUGCUGUUGGUUUUAAGUUAAGACAACGUUAUAACGGUAAUUUUGACGGUGAUAGAGGUCACGGAGUGAGCACGUGUAGCGAAAGAGCAAGGGACUGUUUUGGACUUUCAUUGGAAUUGUUUACAAAUCAAAUUUUGAUGGAUACAGCGUUAUCUUUCCUUUUUAAAAGCUAUCGGGUGCUACACAUGACGUUGCGUCUAAAUUCAUAUAUCUUUAAACGAAGUGGAGCCGAAAAUCGAAAGUUGAUAGCAAUUUAGGGAGACAAGCUGGUACUACAUACAUCCAAAGUUGGAAGGGCCAAUUUGCGAGCUUCAGUGGCUGUACAUUUUAAAUUAUACUACAAUGGCCAGUAUACGAUGCUUUGAUUGAUUGAUUAACAUUUUUAACCUGGAUUUAAGAUUAUACUUAUCUUAUCAAACAAUUUUACAAGGUUUUCAUGAUGUACAUUAGAAAACAGGUUUGUCCCAAACUCAAGUGUGCUCUCUCAUCAGUUUAGGUGGAAUGAUGUAAGGUAUACAAAGGCACAUAUAAAGGAGGUAGAAGGUUUAUGAAUAUACAAUAUACUUAUGUAUAUGCACAGAAUUAUUUAAAUGUGAACAAAUUUAGCUAGAAGUAUAUGUUCGUAUAUGUAUGAUAAAAUGUGUUUGAAAUAUGCUCUUUGAAAUUUUACAGAUUAGAUUUAUCAUAUAUAUUUUAGGGUGGAACAUUUACCCUACUGUGUUCAAUAUGCCUCUAUUCUAUUGAAUGCUAAUACUAAAACGUUUUUUAAUUGACUUAGAACAUUUAGUUUUAGACUACGUAUAGUUAAAUUUUACUACAAUAUGCUUACAUUCAUAUUUCUUGUAACAUAUAGCAGAUCAUGACUCAUGCUGGCAUUACACAAUGGUUUCUCUGGGUUUUAUUCCUGAUUGUUUUCAAAUUUGAGUGAAGUCUGUGUCACUACAGGCCUGGACAGCGCAGUGGACGCUUACGGCUAGCCCCCGGAUCCAUUCAAUUUAUUUGAAUUGUGCGUUUGUUUGUGAGUUCUGCGUAAUAUGUCUUGUCCGUAUAUUUGUUUUUGUGUAAAUUAUGUGUGGUGCAGUCCCCCUGCACUUACUAUUAGUCUAUCAGAUGGAUAGUAACUUUAGCCUCUAGAGCGUCCACAAGAUUUUUCAAAGUGAUCAAGGGUCAUAACUCUGGCAGUAAUUAUCGGAAAUCAAUAGGCUUCUUCGUCUAAUGACUGUUAAUACUGUGUAUAAAUUGAAAGUCAAUCAGAUAUUAACUUUAGCCUCUAGAGCCUCCACAAGCAAUUGUGGACGCAGGACCGUUGGACGGACCGAUGGUCUGAUGGCAAUAUAUGACCACAUUGAAAUGUGUUCGUAUAAAAAAUUUCAUUUUUUGUACAAUCAGGGGCCAUAAUCCAGGAAGCUAUGGUCCGAUAUACACGAGUAUCAACAGGAACCAAGAUCUUUCGGAUAUAAACAUAUAUUCUAAGUUUCAUCGAAAUCGGAUAAAAAUUGUGACGUCUAGAUAUAAAAUUGUUUAUAUCCCAGAGAUUUCGAUUACUUUUGAUAUUUGUGCAUAUUGAACCUGGAUUAUGUCCCCUGAUUGUACAAAAAAUUGCUUUUAUUUAGCUUGCAAAAUGUGGGCGUAUCUUGCAUGGCAACCGCUUGUUAAAAUUAAAUACUAAUCUUGUUUGUGUUUUUGUAUCAAACAAUUCUACAUGAAAAUAGUGUUGGAUUAUUAUAAAUUUGUGUCGGAUGUGACAAGAAAUGAUUCCUUUUGGUGAUUAAAGAAGAAUCACAGUGAAAAAUAGAUGGUAAGGAUUCCAAAAUAGCCUUUGAACCCAGGUGGGGGAAAAGCCUUAUUUUCAUAUUAACGGAUAGUAACGGAUAGAGAACAGAGCUGAUAAGAUCCGUUACUAAAGUUAGUACAGUUUAUUAGAGUGUCAUCUGUCAAUAGCUAUCGUUUCAAAAAAAUUCUAUAAUAUGGGUUUAGUUGUAAAGUCACACAUAAGUAAAAUGUGAAUUUAUAUGGAUAAAAAAACGCCUUCCCGCUUCUAGAAUGUUCCAGUUUUUAUAAACGAGUCAUCGCAAGUUUGAAUUACUUUCUGUUAGCGCCAUGAAGUUUAUCAACCACUAUUUACUCCUUAUGCAUAUCAUUAACACAAACAACCAAUCAAAAACACUCUAGAUAAUAUUACGCGCCAAUUUGACCUCAAGUUCACAGGUCAAAAGGCGAGUCUGAGUUGGCGUGUUUACUUUGAGACGAUGAAGUGCCCUAUUCACCUCGUAGACAAAGAUUGUGGAAAGCUGAUUAAAUUUACAGAUACCAGUUGGAAUAAGGUUGUUUUAAGUUUAAAAGAAUGGACUAAUCUUGAUGGAAACGAGCUAAAAUUGUGCCAACAAUAUUAAGAUGUAUUUGAGGGUAAGUUUAUCAACUAAAUCAUACUAAAAUUGAAAGUAGAGUCCCCGUUUUAUUUUUUCGCGAAACACAAAAUUUUUUGUUGUUUACAUUUUAAAUUAAAUUCUUAAUGAUAGGCAGAUUAAAUUUUAUAGACACCUGUGCUCAUGACAAAUGCUCGGGACAGUACAACGCAACGGGAGCUUACGUCCGUAUAUAAUAUUUCUUGUUUGUUGACAUUGCUGUGUGCAAGUUACGAUAAAUAAUAAUAAUGUUUGUUGACAUUCAUUUGUAUAGUCUCGUUAUAUAGUUCAUAGAUAGGUUUGUUUUAAAAUCGAUAGCAUUCACGCUAGCCUUUGGUUUUAUUUUAUUAACCCCAGAUUGUCUAAGUGUCUUUUCACAAAUCAAGUGCAAACAGGUGGCAGUGUCUUAUUGUUUUUCAUAAAAGAAAAGUAAUUGUUAUUAUGGAUAUUUGUUGCACCUAAAUUCUUCUCUCAGGUUCUAAUUUGCUUAUUUUGUUUAUGUGUGCAAUAAUAUUAGGAGUAUGUUUGUAUUUAUAGGGAAUAAAGAUGAUGCACUACCGGUUUAUGGCUAUCAUUCCAAGUGUUAUUCGAGAUUCACAGACAGAACAAAGAUUGAAGGAGCUACUAAAAGAGUUGCAUUACAGUCUGGUGAGAAGCAAACGAGUGAUGAGAGUCAAUCCACGUCUAGAAAGGUUUGCGAUCAGCCGCCACUAAAUCAUCAACCACCCAAGCUGUCCACCUGCGAUAAUAAUAUUUGAAAACAGAAGAGCAAUAUUUACAAGAGGACAUGUCUUGUCUCCUGUGUGCAUUAUCUGCAAAAAAGUACCUUUGUUCUACAGGUGUCAGAAUAAGACUUUCUCUGAUAAACUGGUUUUAGCAGAAACUAAAGAUGGGGAGUGACUUCGAGAAGCAGCAAUUAAGAAAGAAGAUGAAACCAUUCUCAGGCACAUCAGAGAUAAAGACUGUGUACCAUCUACAAUGCUACAAGGAUUAUGUUCGAUUCCUAACAAGAAAACCCACAGUUCAGUCGUCAGGGUCUUCAGAGGUGUCUGCAUAUGAGACAACCUUUGAUAUAUUUUGUGAAGAUGUGAUUAGAAAAAAAAUUAUUUUCAACAAAGAAAUUCUGUGAAUGGCCAAGUUAUUAGAUAUGUUUAUUAAGAUGGCAAAGGACAUUGAACAAGUCGACAUUUCAAACUACCGGUAAUAAUUUGUUAUUUCUGUACAAUGGUUUUGUCCUUUGGGGGUGGGGGCGAUUUAGCCAAUUGGUCUGUCAUUAAUGGGCUCAACGGUUUGAAUCCUCUUCUCAAUGACAAGGUGUGGGAGUAUGCAGGGGUAUUCCGGUUUGUCCUACUGUACUACUAAUAUGUAGGCGAAUUAUCUGCCAUUGCAAGUGGAUUGGUGCAAAAUAACCAGAUAGCAGUGUCAGCGUGCAAUAAAACAACAUUCAGUGGAUAUGAUUUAUGUGAAUUAAUUUUUGAAAUGUUGUUUUUAAUUACAAUACACAGGCAUGAUUUAUAUCUUUAAAAAAAACCCAAACAAUAUAUCUUAAGAUAAAUAAAUGUGUAAAUACUUUUCCAUUUGUUGAUUUUAGUACUUUGUUUAACUGUUUGUUUUAUAUGUUUUUAUAUUUUACAUUCUCACUAUUUAAGCAUUAAUUAUUGCACAACUGUUACAGCAAGAUUUAAAUAAAUUAUUGAUAUAACAGUUAUUAAAAAUUAAAAAAAGGUUUUCUGUAUUUUAAAAAAAAUAUUGAUAUUGAAAUGUAAUUGUAAAUUGCAAUACACAGGCUUAAUUUAUAUCUAUUUAAACCUUUAAUACUAGUCAUUAAAUAAAAGAUUAAUGUUUUAAAUUUGUUUUCAUUCUUUGUUUGGUGAUAGGGUGAGUUGCCAAGGGGGAAAUUUGGUCUUUGUUCAAUAUUUAUAGGACAUUUAUGAUACGAGUUAUCUCCCCUUAUACCUUUUUACCUGGGACCCCUAUUUGAAAUAUCACGUUUAUGCAUUGUUUUUUUGGUUGAAAUCAAAUAUGUCUAUGCAAUUAUCAA